CAAAUGGCCGCGGCGGCCCCAGGUCCGGCGUCACUCAGACAAGAGGGCGGGUAGAGGAGGAAGCGGCCAAGUCCACAGUACUGCUCUGGUGCCGCCGAUCACCGCUCACCUCAGCUGACCAGCCCUGUCCUCUACUGGGCCUCGCCUAGAGGAGGGAAAGGCCGCGGCGUCCGCUUCCUCCGCGGCUCAUGGCGACGACGCUUGGCACAUCCGGGACCCUCAGGCCGCUGCGGUCGCGUCGCCGGCUGCUCGGGCCCCAACCCCGGCCGCUGUGGUGACUCCGCCGCGCCUCGCCGUCGCCCCCGUCCCGCCCGCCGCCCCAGCCGCCAGGAACAUGUCUAACCUCGGAGGCCGUAGGAACGGGCCUGUCGAAGUGCGCCUGACAGGAAUCAUAUUGACAGGUCAUGAAAAUGAGACCAAAAGAUCUCUGGAAGCGAUUAAUGAUAAAAUUUCAUGGAGAAGAAGGCCUUGACUACGGAGGGGUUGCCAGGGUGAUGACAACUCCGUGAGGGUGGAGAUUAUACAUCUCUCAUCAUUUCAGCAACAAGGAAAUAAAUUAGUGGCAGAGUAAGGGUGACUUGAGAUCUCUUGGAAGCGAGGAUCCUUUAAAAAUCCUGGAAUAUACACUGCAGUAAAAGAACAAAGCAUACCUCAGCCUUAAACGACUGAAGAAGAAUGUCAAGUGGGGAAGUGGCUUUGGUUUUCAGUUUGUGGGUUCUGAAUCCACACAAAGACAGGAUUGCUUUCUGAAAACCUGAAUUAAUUAUUGUCCUUACCUCAAUAAGACAAAAAAUUAGAAUCAAAAUCGUUAGUAUUACAGUCACAGAUAUCGCCAAGAUGAGUUUGUUGUUAUAGCCAUAUCCUGGAACUUCUUUCGUGAGCUAAAAAAAAAAAAAAAAAAAAAGGAAAGAACAAUUAAAAAAAGAGUGAAAGCUAACUUUUCAAAACCCCAGUAUUCCAGUUGAGUAGCUUACAGGUUCUUUUUUGUUUGUUUGUUUUGAGACAGGGUCUCACUCUGUCACCCAGGCUGGAGUACAGUGGUGUGAUCACAGUUCACUGCAGACUCGACCUCCCUGGGCUCAGGUGAUCCUCCCACCUCAGCCUCUAGAGUAGCUGGAAUUAUAGGCACAAGUCACCACACCCAGCUAAUUUUUGUAUUUUUUGUGAAGAUAGGGUUUCACUAUAUUGGUCAAGCUGGUCUCAAACUCCUCUGACUUCAAGUGAUCUACCCACCUCGGCCUCCCAAAGUGUUGGGUUUACAGGCGUGAGCUACCAUGCCCGGCCUACAGUUCAUCCUGUGCACUAAUCUGUUUCACUCUCUAAAUGAACAAAGUGGGAGAUCACUGUCAUGGCCAAAGUUACAUGGCCAAGACAAACUAUGGCCUGGGAGUCCCAGGUUCUCCUGUGUGGGCACUUUCCUGGCAUAUGCUAAAUGAUGGGAAAGUCUGGGUCUCAUGUUUCUGUGUGGUCCUCACCUCACUCGACUUCUGCUCUUUCUGUUCACUCUGGGCUUCUGUGCUCUCAUUGAUACAGUUCUUAGUUUUCCACUGGUCCGUAUCCCGUUCUGCCUUGGACGCCUUUACUUCCUGCUGCUCACUGAGAAGCUUCAUCAGGAGGCCUGUCCUGGAGAUGAGCUUGGCACAGGUCACUUGCACAUAGGUCUCAGAGCAGUCCGUCUUCAAGGUCCAGAUAACAUGAGAAAUGAAGCUUCUCACAUCGUUGUUGGGGAUGACGGACUGUAGUUGAUGGGUUAGCGGAAUUUUAAACUGAUCACCUGGGGAUGAGAGCAAUGGGUAACUGAAGCUUUUGGGCUCGGGGGACAGGUCAGUGCCCACGUUGUUGUAUUCCCAUUUUGUCUCAGUUUGUUUAACAGUUGGCUCUAAGUUGAAUGCAGUCCUAGUGGGAAUCUGCCUCAGGAAGAUGAUUGUAGUUUGUGUUUUCAGAGAUGGUGCCUUCUGGCAUAGUAGUGUUUUCCAUAAAAACGUUUUCUUUAGAGGCAUUUCUUGCAGUUGUGUUUUUUACAGUAGUGUUUUCUAUAAAACGUUCUGAAGGAGCAAAUACUUCCGGAAAAGGGUUUUCUUGAGGACUCAGGUCUCCUGAGGAUGAAAAAGCCCCUUGUGAAGGGGAAUUUAUGAGGCUCUUCGCUGCAGAGAACGGCGGCCUCUUUGUGAGCAUCAGUCUAUUGAGAUAACUUUUCUUUCUCAAUUUUCUAAUCUUUUUGGCCUUGGGUGUUCUGUGGGCCACACGGGAGUGAGUUUUAUGAAAGUGGUAUUUUUUUUCUGGAAUGUACGACUCGUUUAGCAGCCUUCAUAUUUUUUAACUCCAGCCUUUGCAUUUUCUAAAAUUAAAAUGGUGUAGGCUAAGUCUUUCGAUCUGUCUAUGACCUGAGGUAGGGCUUUUGCAGUUGUGGAAGGCAGAAGGCAUGCCCAUGGAGAAGGGUUUCAGCAAAGAGGAGACUGUUAGCUUCUGCUCUUGGGUGAAUGAAGGCUUGGUGUAGAUGGCGUUUCCCGCUAUGUUCUCGGGCCCCUGCACUAUGUGAGGCUAUUCCAGCUCCCUUGGGGCUGGACUCCCGAGCCUUUUUUCUUUGGCAGCAUUCUCCCCAAAUGCUUGGGCACCCUGUUCCCUCCUGAUACUCUGCUUUCCCACCUCUUUGAAGGGCCUUUUCUGGAUGUUCCUUGGGCCCAUGAGGACUCUGUUCACUCUCUGCAGGUUUUUGCCUACUCUUUGAACCUUUGCCAGGCUGUUUUCCUGUGGUUGGACAGUUUCUAAUUUCUUUUCAAAUAUUUGGCAUUUAAAUUUGUUACCUAGAAGGCUGGACUGCAUAAGCAUGGCAGUUUUUUCUUCCCUUUUAACUUCAUCGAUUUUUUUCUUGUAUUUCUGCAUCUAACAUCUUUUCUAGCAAAUACGCCUUUCUCAAUUUAUUUUCAUAAGUUGAAUUGUUGGAUGCAG
RNAcentral lists this long non-coding RNA (2949 nucleotides) under Pan troglodytes (chimpanzee). Its description in RNAcentral is "long non-coding RNA NONPTRT006895". The record is from RNAcentral. Lineage: Eukaryota; Metazoa; Chordata; Mammalia; Primates; Hominidae.